UUAUUCUCCUGCAAACACGAUUCCACCUUCUCUCUCCUCCCAACGACUCUCUGCCCCUUCUCUCUCCUAAACUCUCUGGGUUUUUUUUCUCCCUCCUAAAACCCUAAUUUCACGGCUGGGACUCUGGGAGGCACAACCAUGGAUAGGUGGGCCACGAUUUCUCUCGGUGAUCCGUUGAUGAGCCAAGAUGGAGGUACGACGGUGGCGCUACAUAGAUCUCGCCGCCGAUUUCUCUACCUUCUCAAACUCUUCGGCGAUUUCUCUCCCUUCUCAGUUUGAGCUUGCUGUGGUGGAAGGACGGCGGCCGUAGCAACAUCUGGAACAGAUCUAGGCAUAGUCCUUAAUGCGUGGUACUCAACAGGAUUUUACAAGCAGCAGCAAAGUGAUGAAACUCCAAUGGUCUGGGAAAUGCUCCUCUAUAUCUACAUCUUGUGUUCACCUGAUUGGCACUACCGAAGCACAAUGCCCACGUUCCUCUUCCUCAAUGGUGUUAUCUUUGUCGUUGUCCAUUACCUAUUCCAUUUCAAGAUAAGUUAUAAAGCUCAUUAUGUGGUGCUUUGUCUCCUUUGCAUCCCUCCGAUGUACAAAUACUACAUCCACACAGAGGAUCCUACAGCUAAGCAUCUUGCAAAGCUUUAUUGAGUCACUUUAUUCCUUGUGAGCCAAAGUUGAAUGGGUUUGACCUAAGUAGAUUUCAUGUAAUUUUUGCUUUAUGGUUUAAUAGCUUGGUUUGCUUUUGUAAGCUAGUAACUAGAAAGUCCCUAGUAUAGUAAUACGUGUACCCAUAAAUUGUAACUACAUAUGAUAAAAAAAUUUAAAAAAAGUACAACUUUUAUACUUUGUAUUAUAUGACUAAUUAUUUUCAUUGCUUAA
Molecule: long non-coding RNA, 873 nt
Organism: Spinacia oleracea (spinach)
Lineage: Eukaryota; Viridiplantae; Streptophyta; Magnoliopsida; Caryophyllales; Amaranthaceae
Exons: 2
Source: RefSeq, a predicted model, not a curated record